This is a non-coding RNA of Podarcis muralis (Common wall lizard), 719 nucleotides long. Lineage: Eukaryota; Metazoa; Chordata; Lepidosauria; Squamata; Lacertidae. The record is from RefSeq and is a predicted model, not a curated record.
UUUUGGAUGCUAACAUCCCACAGCUCUGCCCCAGCAUAUGGUCUCCACAGUUAUGUCAUUGUAGCAUAUUCUGAAAUAAGUCAUAUGCCCAAAGACUCAGUCAGAGAAAAAUUAAAUCCUUUCCAUAGGCAUGAGUUCUUAUUUACAUCUGUUCCUCUGGGGCGAAUCAUUCUGGCAGUGGGAGAGCUGGGAAGCAGAGCUCACUCCAUUGUCUCUGCUGUGACAGACUAGCUCCACCAGGCCUCCUUUCCCUCAGCUGUCACCUCCGGGGCAGCCAUCCCAUCAGACUGCCUCAGUGGCAGAGAUGGAAAGCAGGGCUUAUUUCGCCAGCCUUGCUGAAGGCCCAACUUCAUCAAUAAACACACAAGACGUAACCGGCUGUGUUCUUAGUCUUCCGGACUUCUAAUCUUAGCAGAGGAACUAUGCGUCUGCCUGAGCUAUGGCGAACCUGGUUACUGUGAUGAAAUGGCGUCCGCUGCUAAUGAUUGCUGCCAUGGUCUCGGCACCAUCGCCUCUCUCUGACAUCUCUCUCAUCUGAACUGAGAUUGCUGACUGACAGCUCGCACCAGUCAGAGGGACACGGCGCCAAACAGAUGCCUCCGAGUCUAUGUCCCCACCGUGUCGAUGCCAGGACAUUGCUUGCAAGACACGUGAAACUGCUGAGGAUCCAUUACUGAACUUUCACAAAAGUGAGACUUCUUUGGCGGUAUAAUUAAAAG